This 691-nucleotide long non-coding RNA is filed under the name Solanum lycopersicum (tomato). RNAcentral describes it as "partial TCONS_00171532". Lineage: Eukaryota; Viridiplantae; Streptophyta; Magnoliopsida; Solanales; Solanaceae. The record is from RNAcentral.
CUCAUCGGUAAUAAGGCUUCAAAAUAGGGAGUCUUUUUUGGGGCUAUUGCAUGGGAUGUGGUAGUCACUAAUGGAAGCUUUGUGAUCCUCGCUAAGAUUAAAAUAGAGGAUUUCAAAAUUCCACUUUCCAUUACGAUCUUAGGCAUAUUUAUGCGCUUAAUAACCAGGUUAUUCCAUAUAUCUAGGGUGAAAACCAUGGAAAAGGAGUGUAAAAUGACACCAUGCAUGGGGUUGGAGAAAAAUACUCAAAAUUGCUAAGGAGAAAUGGCUAGGAAGCUGGAAUAAUACAUUGUGAAGGAGCACCUCCCCGAUGCGAAGCUGAAUACAGCAUGUGGAAAACUAAUUUGACAAACUAGUGGAAUGUGUGAUGGACACGCAUCGCGGUGUUGGCUCAUGAUAUUUGAAAUUUUAAGGGUGUAGACCUGGACCCUAGAUUUGCAUCACUUGUUUUACUUCACACUAUAGCCAAAUUAUUUUAUGGUUAUUCAACUUCUAGAAAAUGGUAAAACAUGAUUUGGGUGAUUUUGCUGACAUUCCCUAGGAUUUUCUUCUACUUUUUUGUAUUGGUAAACACUUGUACGAUCUUUGAACAUUAUUUGAUGAUGUUACAUACUAUAAGUAGCGAAAUUCCCUUAUUCUAGGGUUGUAUUUACGAUUAAUGGCUUAAUGGUGUUUAUUUCUAGCAUGAGAU